Molecule: RNA transcript, 2795 nt
Organism: Lotus japonicus
Lineage: Eukaryota; Viridiplantae; Streptophyta; Magnoliopsida; Fabales; Fabaceae
Exons: 5
Source: RefSeq, a predicted model, not a curated record
AGUCUCACCGCGACAUAGUGGCCAUCGCGAGAAUGCCAAAGCGGCGUUUUUUCAGAUUCAGAAAUAGUGGAAUUUUAGGAAUCUGAAUGUUUUUUUUUUUCAUUUUUGAGGGUUUUUAAAUAUGGUAUUUCUUUACUAAUGGGCCACCGACUAAUUCCCCCAAUUAAUUCCCUAUUAACUCUUUUUCUAUAUUAAUGCUUCAUCGUGAAGAAGAUUGAUGGGAGAAUUGAAAAGCUUCCAAAUUCUCCUUCUCCUUUCCUCUCCUUCGAACUCUUUUCCUCAUUCUCCUUCUUAGAGACCUAGGCUACAACACAGUAGCACACCUUCUUAAAGUUUCAGGUUCCAAUUCAACCCCAGUUCUUGCAGCACCUCAAAGGCCUGACCCUGGAUGGAAAUUUUGUAAGCCAUUCGAUGAGAAUGAUACUAGUCUAUGUGUUUGCAAUUUCUGUGCUAAAAUCACAAAGGGUGGAAUUACAAGAACGAAGGAGCACUUGAUGGGGAAGAAAGGAAAUGUCACACCUUGUCCUAAGUGUUCGAAAGAGGUCCGAGAUGAAUUGUGGGGAAUCUUGAAGGAAAAGAAUAAAAGACAUCGAAGCAUAUGAAAGGGUUCUCCUUGAUAUUCUUGACAAUGGUUGCUACCGCGGUGAUAGUGAUGAAGAACGUGCUAUGGAUGAAGAACUCGAGAUUGCAACUAGCCCUCAGAGAGAAAAUAAAAAGAAAAAGGUUCCUAAGGGCCAAAUUGAUUUGUACCUCCGAAAACCAGAAGUUCCAUUGCAAAGAAGAAGAAUGAGAAGUUAAGGUAGGAAAAUAUAAGAGCCUCAUGUGAUAAGAAGGCUACAACAAGAGUUCAUCAGUAUAUUGCCCGCUUUUGGUAUCAAGUGGGCUUGUCUUUUAACAUAGUUAAGUUGCAAAGCUUUCAUGACAUGCUUGCGACUGUUGGAAGCUUCAGACCUCAUUUAAAAGCGUCUUCAUAUCAUGACAUACAAGUUCCACUUCUUACAAAGGAAGUAGAGUACACUAAGGAUUUGUUGAAGGUCCAGAAAGAGCAAUGGAAAAUAUUUGGUUGCUCUAUUAUGUCCGAUGCAUGGACUGAUUGAAAACAAAGAUCAGUUAUUAACUUCAUGGUGAAUUGUUCAGCUGGAACAAUGUUUUUGAAAUUGGUUGAUGCCUCUGAUUUUGUGAAAACUGGUGAGAAAUGAGCUGUUUGACUCCAUAAUUGGUGAAGUUGGGGAAGAGAAUGUAGUUCAGGUUAUAACCGACAAUGACCGCAACUAUGUGAGUGCGGAAAAGAUGCUAGAACAAAAAAGACCUAACUUAUAUUGGACACCAUGUGGAACUCAUUGCAUAAAUUUUAUUUUGGAAGACAUUGGAAAGAUCGCUCUCAUAAAGAAAACAAUGCAAAGAGCCAUAUCUCUUGUUGGUUACAUCUACGGUUACUCUAGUACAUUGAGCUUGUUGAGGUUCUAUACCAAGAAAAGAGAAUUGGUAAGACAUUCUGUUACAUCCUAUCUUACAUUGAAAAGAUUACAGAAGGAGAAACGAAAUCCGAGGAAGAUGUUUGUGUCAAACAAUUAGACAACUAACAAGUUGUCCAAAGAGGAAAAAAGCAAGGAAGCAACAAAAACUGUUUUUAUGAACUCUUUCUGGAACAAUGUUUGUUUUACACUAAAGGUCAUGGGUCCACUGUACUACGCCUAGCGGACAUCGAGAAGAAACUUGCUAUGGGUUAUAUCUAUGAGGCUAUGGAUAUGGCCAAAGAAGCAAUCAGAGCUUCCCUUGGUGACGACAACAACAAAUAUGGAAAUAUAUGAGAAAUCAUAGACAAUAGGUGGAAUAGUCAACUACAUCGCUCAUUGCAUGCUGCUGAUCACUUCCUGAACCCAGAGUACUACUAUAAUGAUCUAUAAUUGGACUAUGAUUUUGAGUGCAGAAAGGGAUCUAUGACUGUGUAGAAAGGUUGUCGCCUACUGAUGAACUAAGGAAGAAGAUACUUACAGAGCUACCAAUUUACAAAUCUGGUGGUGGCAUGUUUGGAACUAGAUUUGCAAUUGAACAAAGGGGCGCAAUUGCACCAGCUCAAUGGUGGAGAAUGUAUGGAAAAUCAACACCGAAUUUGCAACGGUUGGCAAUAAAGAUCUUAAGUUUGGCUUACAGUGUUUCUGGGUGUGAACACAAUUGGAGUGUGCUUGAACAACGUCUUUAUAGAUUCAUACAAAGAAAAGAAAUAAGCUUGAGCAUAAGAGACUUGAGGACUUGGUGUUUGUCAAGUAUAAUCAAGCACUAGUAAGAAGGUACAAUAUUAGAGAUGAGUUGGACCCUAUCUCCUUGGAUGACAUUGAUAAGAGCAAUGAAUGGCUAGUGGGGACGAUGGAUGAGGAUGGAAAUGAUGCUGAAAAUGAUAGGGUAUUUCCGAAUGAUGACCUCACUUGGGAUGUUGUUUACCAAGCUUCAGGAAUUGGAGAGCCUACUAUUAACACUAGGCGAAGAACUAGAAAAAGAAAAGAGGUCCCAACUGCUGCAGAUACUUCAUCUAAGAAGAAGAAAGGUGCUUCCAAGAAAGGAAAAGAGGUGGUGGUUGUUGAAGAGGAAGAAGAAGAGAUAUUAGACAAUGAUUUGGAGGACACGUAAAUACAAGUUAGAAGGAUAUGUUUCACUCUCUGAUGAUGUGGGUGAUGAAAAUUCUGGGAGGAGGAAGAGGAUAAUGAGUUGAACUGUCUUUUGUUGCAUUUACCUUUUACUAUUUUGAGACUUGAGUUUAAAUUCUGUUGUUUUAAGUCUUUAGUCGUUUGAUUUGA